UAUAGAUGGAUCCGCGCUGCAUUAGCUAGUUGGUAAGGUAACGGCUUACCAAGGCAACGAUGCAUAGCCGACCUGAGAGGGUGAUCGGCCACACUGGAACUGAGACACGGUCCAGACUCCUACGGGAGGCAGCAGUAGGGAAUCUUCCGCAAUGGGCGAAAGCCUGACGGAGCAACGCCGCGUGAGUGAUGAAGGUCUUCGGAUCGUAAAACUCUGUUAUUAGGGAAGAACAUAUGUGUAAGUAACUGUGCACAUCUUGACGGUACCUAAUCAGAAAGCCACGGCUAACUACGUGCCAGCAGCCGCGGUAA
Molecule: ribosomal RNA, 311 nt
Filed under: Staphylococcus aureus
Lineage: Bacteria; Bacillati; Bacillota; Bacilli; Caryophanales; Staphylococcaceae
Description: bacterial SSU rRNA
Rfam family: Bacterial small subunit ribosomal RNA
Source: RNAcentral